Molecule: long non-coding RNA, 968 nt
Filed under: Fukomys damarensis (Damara mole-rat)
Lineage: Eukaryota; Metazoa; Chordata; Mammalia; Rodentia; Bathyergidae
Description: lncRNA (ENSFDAG00000028214.1)
Source: RNAcentral
CGAUGGGUCCAAACAGAACUUGAGACAACUGCCUCCCCGGUCACUUGGCUGGAGACAGUUAGCAGCGAACAUGCUGUGCUGCUUUCCCAGACCUCAAGGCCGCAGGCCCAGGACCCCACGAAAGGAAAGCACUUGGCAACGAGUGAGAAGAUGGUUCACUUGCCCCAGAUGCUUCAGAACAUUCACCAGGAGCUGCCCAACAGUCACGGACUGCACAGGGCAGGUCUCCCCAGACCCAUUCACCAGGUGCCCAGAGAUGAGAGGGAGCCCAGGGAAGGUGUCCCUAGGCCAGAACUUCAUCUGCUCUGAGACACCGAGUCCAGUACAGAUCUAUAUAGACCUGGCCACCUCCUCCGCAGACAGCCUGGCAGACCUCGGCACAGUGAGCACGGUGCAGGCAGGGCCAUCCCACACCGUGAUGGAGUCCGUGGAGCAGGACUUUCCGGAGAGGAAGAGCAGGUCUGCCUCUUCCAUUCCUGAUUCCUCACCGGAGCUGAUAUCCCAGGUGGAUCCCCAGGAUGACCUUCUCCUGAACCAGCUGGAGCCUCCUGAGCCCACUGAGGCAGAGCUCCACGAUCCGGCCCACACUGACGUCCCACCUGCUGAACUCGUGCCAGCUCCACCUGCAGCUCCCGUGGCAUCUCUGGCCCCACAGCAGGAGCCAGCACCUGGAAGCCCUGCUCCACCAGGAACACAGCUGCAACUUCUGGCUCCAUGGCAGGUGUCCUCUCUUCAGAUCUACCUGGACCCAGCUCUUCACCUGCAACUGCCAUUCGCCUGCCUUACUCAUUUACUUAAUAUUGUUUUUAUUGUAACUCUUAUUUCCUGGAGAUUGGUCAAUGAUAGAAUUUAAAUAAUAAAAUUGAAGAUUUUCGUCUUGUUGAUAAUUAUCAGCUUGUUGCAUUCUCACUCAUUCGCCAUGUUUUGCAACCUUUACCAUUGUCCACUUCCAAGACAUUUUCCUCAAC